Molecule: long non-coding RNA, 260 nt
Filed under: Phaseolus vulgaris (common bean)
Lineage: Eukaryota; Viridiplantae; Streptophyta; Magnoliopsida; Fabales; Fabaceae
Description: long non-coding RNA (PVUL_LNC001838)
Source: RNAcentral
AAAAAAUUUGUAAAUGGAAAAAUGCAGAAGGGUUUUAUCAUGAAUUCAUUGAUUUUCUAUAAUUGAUUAUCAACCCUUUUGAGGCUUGAUCGAGGAUAGUUUUUUUCCUUCACAAAAAGACAUGCUGGAUUUUGCACCUAUAUACAUACAUACGGAUCGAAAACUAAACCAAUAGAUUCACAUAGAAUACCUUUCCUAUGGAUAGAUAAUAGAAAGAGUAUCAAUUCAUAUGCUCAUGGUCUAUUCAGUGCAAUAAUAUA